CGGAAGGCCCUUCGGGGUACUCGAGCGGCGAACGGGUGAGUAACACGUGAGUAACCUGCCCUAGGCUUUGGGAUAACCCUCGGAAACGGGGGCUAAUACCGAAUAUGACCUGACCUCGCAUGGGGUUGGGUGGAAAGUUUUUCGGCCUGGGAUGGGCUCGCGGCCUAUCAGCUUGUUGGUGGGGUGAUGGCCUACCAAGGCGACGACGGGUAGCCGGCCUGAGAGGGCGACCGGCCACACUGGGACUGAGACACGGCCCAGACUCCUACGGGAGGCAGCAGUGGGGAAUAUUGCACAAUGGGCGGAAGCCUGAUGCAGCGACGCCGCGUGAGGGAUGACGGCCUUCGGGUUGUAAACCUCUUUCAGCAGGGACGAAGCGUAAGUGACGGUACCUGCAGAAGAAGCACCGGCCAACUACGUGCCAGCAGCCGCGGUAAGACGUAGGGUGCGAGCGUUGUCCGGAUUUAUUGGGCGUAAAGAGCUCGUAGGCGGCUUGUCGCGUCGACCGUGAAAACUUGGGGCUCAACCCCAAGCCUGCGGUCGAUACGGGCAGGCUAGAGUUCGGUAGGGGAGACUGGAAUUCCUGGUGUAGCGGUGAAAUGCGCAGAUAUCAGGAGGAACACCGGUGGCGAAGGCGGGUCUCUGGGCCGAUACUGACGCUGAGGAGCGA
Molecule: ribosomal RNA, 670 nt
Filed under: Micromonospora sp. 492
Lineage: Bacteria; Bacillati; Actinomycetota; Actinomycetes; Micromonosporales; Micromonosporaceae
Description: bacterial SSU rRNA
Rfam family: Bacterial small subunit ribosomal RNA
Source: RNAcentral